Molecule: long non-coding RNA, 1650 nt
Filed under: Malus domestica (apple)
Lineage: Eukaryota; Viridiplantae; Streptophyta; Magnoliopsida; Rosales; Rosaceae
Description: long non-coding RNA (MDOM_LNC018828)
Source: RNAcentral
UUCCCUAACGGUGUUAGGGAAUAUUCCGUUAAAAAUCAGCAUAUACCGUUAUAAUUACCUGACGACGUUAGAAUAUUCCAUCAACUUUGACAUAAUAUUCUCCUCCUUCCUUGGUUCGCCGAAGUCCGGCGCCAGUGCCGUUAAAAUUGUUGGAAAUUGGAAAAAUCUUUAGAACUUCAUAUCUUCUUCAUUUCUCAACUAGAGUUCAUGAAUUAUAUACCAAAAUAAAGCUUGAGAUGUGAGGAACAAAACCUUACAACUCUCAAGUCUUAAAUCCACCGGAAACUCGCUGGAAAAACCCACGAUAGUUCGGCCACUUCUGCAACUCAACGGACCCGAGUUUCUCGACGUUCAAAACCUUCCAAAAUUUUUCUAAAGGCUUCGUGAAGAUGAUCUAAGACUUCCAAAAAGCUCAAAACUUCAAGAAACACUCGCGAUCACGUCGAGUGAACAAUGCACCUCAUCGGGGGUUUUCGAUUCUUGGGUUUUUGAAACUUUCACGACCAACCAAAUGUAUAGAUUGAGUCCUGAGCUCACAAGGAACACGAAAAUCAGUUCUUUGACGUCGAUCCGUGCCUGCAAAGGUUGGUUUGAAAUUUGUUCAUACAAUUGUAUAGAAAUGGAAAGAAAUCCAAGAGGGAGAGAAGGAAGAGGAUCAAAGGGAUUGGUUGGUGUGUGUGUGUGGUCCAGGUUUGGCCAGCCAAACAAAAAAUAACUAAAACUUAAGUUCCACAAACUUAGGAAUAAAUUAAAUUGUUCCAAAACCUAAGCUUCAACCACACCACCACAUAAUAUAACUCAACGCCCAAGGGUAUAAAACGAAUUCCCACGCUAUCGAGGAUAAAAUAAUAUACGCAUUCAGGACGGGCUGUCACACUUUUUGUUUGAAUUUGAGGGUUUAAGGUUUAGGGAGGAAAUUAAGGUUCGGGAAGAAAUUGGCCAAUUAUAAAAUUUCAGGGACAAAAUUGGUCAAUUAAAAAAGUUCAAGGAGUGACAAAUUUGGGUGGAUGCUCCUUACAAGUUUGGGUGGAUGCUGGAUAGGCCUGACAAAUAGAUCGUUUUUACCGUGUUUGUAUUGUUUUCAUGUAAUACAUGUUAUCUUAACAAGUAGUGUUGUGUCAUGCCCAUUAUCUUAAUAGGUUCUUAAUGGGUCGGGUCAUUUUACUUGUUAAAAUUAAUAGGUAAAAUGACCUGACCCGUUAAAAAAAUAGAAAAUUAAAAUUAAAACUAACAUGUCGUGUCAUACCUUUUUCUUCAUCACUGUUACUAUUGUCGUUAAUGGUUUUUUCAUUUUUAUUUUCAUCUUUAGGAAUUCAAGUAUGAUUGAAUUGAAAUGUACCAUCGUUUUAAAAAAAUAAACAUUGACAUGUAACAGCCUGUCCCAAAUUUUACGUUUUUAUUAAGUUUUAGAAGCGUGAAUUCACGAAAAUGCCCUAGAGGCAAGGACUUUGACGUUCAUUGACCAUCAGUUAAAGAAACGUAUGGUUUAUUCUUUUAGCAUAUCCUUGUAGUACUCAUCGCUACAGAUUCAUGGACGCAAAUGGGACGUGAUUUAGAGCUAUAGCGAGGGAGAUAUUAACGUUUGAAGUUUGGGGCAUAUUAAUAAUUUGGUUAUUAUUAGAAAACUCUAAAUGUUUUUUUAAAUGAAAU